GAUUUAAUGUAUACUGUGGGUCAAGGUGCCUGUUCACAAAGGAGCAAAUAGUGUUCCUCAAGAGCUGGACAAUUACAAACCAACACAGAGGAUAGUGAAAAUCUGAUGGAUUAAAACAGCAUAAUAGACUUACAGCCUUUACAAAACUCCAUGGGAUGUUGCUGGGGUGAAAAUCAGCAAUUUUGAAUUCUGAAGUGAAUAAAGAAAACAUGUCACAAAGUACAACAGAACUUUCAUGAUAUCUAUCAAGAGAUGAAGAGUGAAAU
Molecule: non-coding RNA, 266 nt
Organism: Ictidomys tridecemlineatus (thirteen-lined ground squirrel)
Lineage: Eukaryota; Metazoa; Chordata; Mammalia; Rodentia; Sciuridae
Source: RefSeq, a predicted model, not a curated record